UACGAAGGUGGCUAGCGUUGUUCGGAUUUAUUGGGCGUAAAGGGUCCGCAGGCGGUUUGAUAAGUCAGGUGUGAAAUCCCACAGCUUAACUGUGGACACGCAUUUGAUACUGUUAGACUAGAGUAUGAGAGGGGUAAGAGGAAUUUCCAGUGUAGGGGUGAAAUCCGUAGAUAUUGGAAAGAACACCGGCCGCGAAGGCGUUUUACUGGCUCAUUACUGACGCUCAGGGACGAAAGCUAGGGGAGCAAACGGG
RNAcentral lists this ribosomal RNA (253 nucleotides) under uncultured bacterium. RNAcentral's name for it is "partial 16S ribosomal RNA". It matches the Rfam family "Bacterial small subunit ribosomal RNA", at positions 524 to 776 of the family's 1533-position model. The record is from RNAcentral.